AAAGUCAACAGUGGUAUUCAUCAAAGAUGGGACCUUGGGGACAGGGACAACAUUUUGUACAUGACAUCUCAUGGGAAGAACUUUGCGCGUUUUUAUUUUCUUUGGGUGAAAAGAACAGUAGAGGAAGAGUAUAAGUGAUAAGCUUUCUGAUUAAUUACUUCAAUUCCUUCUCAGUAUCCUAAGGCUACACUGGUUAUCUGCCUGUGGUGGAGGUGUUGUAGAGAAGAAGACAUAUAAGCAAGGACCCUGGAGCUCUCCCACAUGCAUUCUCCUUGAAAUUUGUGGUUUAAGAAGGAAUCGAGUCUACUUUGUAGAAAAUCCUGCUGCAUAUUAUAGGAACAUGAGAUGGCUCUUCACAUCGUGAUUGCUGGUCUCAGGUGGCAUUUUCCCAGUUAAAUCUGCCUGGAAAGUUCUGCAGAGUUGCCUAGAAUUGUGUCUCCUAGGUAAUUCUAAAUCCAGUCUAAUUGAAAAUGAAGAUGAACAAUCACUGUACACCCAUACUUAUAUGUCCAUACCAAUAAACACUUAUCCUUGAAAGGCA
This is a long non-coding RNA of Mastomys coucha (southern multimammate mouse), 541 nucleotides long. RefSeq lists it as uncharacterized. Lineage: Eukaryota; Metazoa; Chordata; Mammalia; Rodentia; Muridae. The record is from RefSeq and is a predicted model, not a curated record. The transcript has 2 exons.